CACGUCAGCUAUCAAGUUUUCGCUGGCCGUCAGGUUGCUGGGGUUGAGGUUGUCACUGGCUGUCAUGUUGUCACUGGCAGUUACAUUGUCACUGGCAGUCACAUUGCUGGGGUUGAGGUUGUCGCUGGCCGUCACGUUGUCGAGGUUGUCGCUGGCCGUCAGGUUGUUGGGGUUGAGGUUGUCACUGGCCGUCAUGUUGGGGUUGAGGUUGUCACUGGCCGUCAUGUUGUCACUGGCCGUCAUGUUGACAGGGU
This is a long non-coding RNA of Toxotes jaculatrix (banded archerfish), 254 nucleotides long. RefSeq lists it as uncharacterized. The record is from RefSeq and is a predicted model, not a curated record. The transcript is spliced from 3 exons. Lineage: Eukaryota; Metazoa; Chordata; Actinopteri; Toxotidae.